CGGGGCAGGGCCUGUCCAAUCGGAGCGCGGGGCUGGGCUCGUGGGCGGGCCUUCGUCCUGUCCGGUCCUAAACCGCGGAAUUGGCGACUGGGGAGUCGCCUCUGCCACUUGAGAGGCGCCUGCGAGUGCACGCCCUCUGAGAAGCAGCCUCCCGUCUCGAACUUAGCCCCGCGUGACCCCCCUCGGUCCUCUGUGGUCCAGUUGGGGUUCUCCGAUUGGGGGUCGCGGACCUCUUCCCUGGAGAUACCGUCUAGACGUUACAUUUAAAGCCAGGACUGUCCGUGUGAGUUUUUGUUAGCGCUUUCCAUACGCUGCUUCGACAGUAAGUGACCCCAACAGUGUCCCCUUCACUCUGCAGUCUCUCCUGCAAGUGCCACACCUUUCCCUUUUGACGUAAUAAAAACAACUGAGUUGAAGUGGCCUGACUUGAUGAGUGAGGGGCAUCGAGAAGUGUGCACGGGUAGAAUUGUAGACCUACACUCAAAACAUCUGCUUAGCCAAAUUACGGCACUAACCUAGGUGUCCAGAGGAAUGGAUAAAGAAAAUAUGUAUACACAAAUUUUUCCACCAUAAAGAACAAAGUUAUCAUUCGUAGGAAAAUGGAUCCAACUGGAGAUGAUCUUAUUAAACUGAUUAAGCCAGUCUCAAGACAUAAAUCCCUUGUUUCCUCACGUUUGUGGUUCCUAGAUUUUUACAUGGGUACAUUAAAUCAUGAUGUAUUUGCAAAACAAAAGUCGAUGUGACGUUGGCUAAGGGAUUUAAAGGGAUUAAUGGGGGGAAUAAGUUUGAUGUACAAGAAAUACUUGUAUGAAAUUUCCAAUAGAAAAAAGACUUUUUAAAAAGGCAGCUGGUCAGUGGCUCCUGCCUUUCAUCCCAGCACUCUGUGAGUUCAAGGCCAGCCUCGGCUACAGAUGGAGUCCCAGGACAACUAAGGAUGUACAGAGAAACCCUGUCUUGAGAAAGAAAAAAAAAAAAGGUUGUAUCAGAUCUUCCCAGUCAAGGAAGCUCUGACUGCAUCAGCAGCUAGAAGGUCUCCUCCUCUCAUCCAAUCCAGAGGUGACCAUCUGGGAUUGGAUAACCCGAUGUGUGCUCUUCCCUGGGGAAGACUGUUUCUCCAGUUCUCAGCAUUUCCUUGGUUGCCUGUACUUGUCUUCUGGACCAGGCCUGCCACCCCAGACUCUCCCAGAUGGCGGCACGCCCCUCCUCUGAAGACUUGGAAACACCAAGAAGCAGGAAUUGGGUUACGCAGCUGCUCUUAGCUCUGCUGAGAUAGACAGGCAGUGCAGAGCAGUGUCAUUUUCAGCUCUCAGCAACUUCUCAAAGUGCACCUACUGGAUUCCUUGUGUCACAGUCUCUGAGGAAUUCAGAAAAAGAAGAAAAAGCGUGCACAGCCUCCUUGGAUGGGUUGGCAUGGGUUUUUAAUGUGGCACCUGAAAGACAGCACUUGAAGGAAUGAACCUUCCAUACACAGUCCUUUACACACAGCUGGGAAGCUGUGAUCUACCGGGCUGAAAUCCUAAAUGUCUGCUGCACCUGCUCUACCCAGUGUUUGACCUCUACAGAUGAGGAAUCAGAAUUGUAAAGUUCGUGCUGUGUACCCUUGUCCUUGCCAGUGCUUGCCAGCCUACCCACCCUAUAAAAAUAAAAUCCUACACGCAUUCUGUAGGUGUUUUUAUGUUGGGCAGUAGGCC
Molecule: long non-coding RNA, 1691 nt
Organism: Psammomys obesus (fat sand rat)
Lineage: Eukaryota; Metazoa; Chordata; Mammalia; Rodentia; Muridae
Exons: 5
Source: RefSeq, a predicted model, not a curated record